UCUCCGUAGGUGAACCUGCGGAGGGAUCAUUAAUGAACGGCCGUCGGCCUUCAAACCCAUGAACCGUGGAAGUGAACCGUGCUUCGGCGCCCAGCGUCGGACUUCAUGCCAGAUAUGUCGUCGUCUGAAUCUGAACCACAGAUCAAAACUUUCAACAAAGGAUCUCUUGGCUCUC
RNAcentral lists this unclassified non-coding RNA (175 nucleotides) under soil metagenome. RNAcentral describes it as "partial contains small subunit ribosomal RNA, internal transcribed spacer 1, and 5.8S ribosomal RNA". The record is from RNAcentral.